This 78-nucleotide transfer RNA is filed under the name Mesorhizobium sp. LSHC414A00. Its description in RNAcentral is "tRNA-Met". It matches the Rfam family "tRNA". Rfam says of the family: Transfer RNA (tRNA) molecules are approximately 80 nucleotides in length. Their secondary structure includes four short double-helical elements and three loops (D, anti-codon, and T loops). The record is from RNAcentral. Lineage: Bacteria; Pseudomonadati; Pseudomonadota; Alphaproteobacteria; Hyphomicrobiales; Phyllobacteriaceae.
AGCGGGCUAGCUCAAUCAGGUAGAGCGUCGGCCUCAUAAGCCGAGGGUUUCGGGUUCAAAUCCCGAGUUCCGCAACCA